Molecule: long non-coding RNA, 745 nt
Organism: Sitophilus oryzae (rice weevil)
Lineage: Eukaryota; Metazoa; Arthropoda; Insecta; Coleoptera; Curculionidae
Exons: 2
Source: RefSeq, a predicted model, not a curated record
AUUCUUUUGUUAUCGAUUAGUCAUUAGCCCUAUAACGUUAGUCACAACCUUGAUUAUGUAUAAAUAGAUGUACAAUGAGGGCUUAGUACAAGCCCGUCUUCUAGGUGGCGCCUUGCCCGUUCUGAAUUUUUGUAUUCCCCUACGAUUUUCUUUGAGGGGAAUCCGUUAAACCCGCCCAUCGUUCAAAAAUGGAAGGGCGCGAGGUCACAUCUAUUGGGCCACUUAUUAGCACGUUUCACCCAUGUUUUACGAAAAUAGCUUUAUCCUUGUUUGGUUCAACUGUGACAAGAAAAAAGGAAAAAAAAGUUAUAUUCGCUUCUAAAUUCGGCAGUUUUGUUGAUCUUUCUCGACUUGUAAUUUCGUUUCGUUUAGGUUAUGUCUUAUAAAAAUAAAUAUUUAUAAGCUUUUGAAUUGAAAUAUACCUUAAUGCAUAUCUGAGUAAUUAAAAAAUUCAGUUUUUUCGUCCCUCGCGAAGAAACAUAAACAGUAUUUGUGAAAUUUGGAUUAGAAACUAUUAUUUUAUUAGUUUAUUUUGUUGUGUUUAAGUGUUGUGUAUUUGUACCUACUGGAUAAUAUUUUCCAACAUAUUUAAUUAAGCAAAAAGCAUCUGUUUUACAGGUGUGACUGCUAAGUGGUCGUACUCGCCACUUUAACCAAGCAUUGGUGGGACCUUCAGAGAUCAUAAUGCGAAUUUCUUCAUACCAUGUAAAUCUAUAUACAUGUAUUAAUAAAUGCGUUUGCUUUA